RNAcentral lists this ribosomal RNA (309 nucleotides) under Triticum aestivum (bread wheat). RNAcentral describes it as "partial small subunit ribosomal RNA". Lineage: Eukaryota; Viridiplantae; Streptophyta; Magnoliopsida; Poales; Poaceae. The record is from RNAcentral.
AUGAAAAUCAUAGGAUGGAACUGCCGGGGGCUCAGGAAUGGCCCGGCAGUUCGUAGUCUCCUCGAGUUGGGGAGAGUGGAGGAACCCGAUGUUUUGUUCUUGGCGGAGACAAAAAUGUCAGACAAGGAAAUGGAUCGAUUCCGAUGGAUGCUGGGUAUGUCACAUAUGGCAGCAUGGAGCGCACAAGGUAGGAGUAGGGGAGUGGCCUUAUUCUGGAGACGGGAGGUGGACGUGACGUUGCAGCCCUAUGGAUGGAGACACGUGGAUGUGGAUGUUACAGAGGGGGAUGGCAGGAUCUGGCGCCUAAUA